UUGGGCAGGGAGUCAGUGAAGAACCUAGAUGAUGUCACUCCCCACCUUAAAUAGUUUUUGCACAUGGCAGGGAGCCCUUUUCUUC
Long non-coding RNA from Gopherus evgoodei (Goodes thornscrub tortoise), 85 nucleotides. RefSeq lists it as uncharacterized. The transcript is spliced from 3 exons. NCBI's taxonomy places the organism in Eukaryota, Metazoa, Chordata, Testudines, Testudinidae. The record is from RefSeq and is a predicted model, not a curated record.